This 528-nucleotide long non-coding RNA is filed under the name Marmota monax (woodchuck). The record is from RNAcentral. Lineage: Eukaryota; Metazoa; Chordata; Mammalia; Rodentia; Sciuridae.
UGACAGUGUAAUUUCAGGCAAACUACUUUGCUACUCUAAGGCUCAGUCCUAAUCUGUAACACAAGGAUAAUAAUAUCUAACAAGAGACAGAACUGUUUUAAAAAUUGAAUAAAAUAAUAAAUGAAAUGUGUGUAGUACAGUGCUUAGUACAGUGUCUAGUGUCUGAUAAGUGUCCCACGAAUGGAAGCUGGUGUUAUUCUCACUCAAUUCCUUUAUGGUUGCUCUGUCUCCCACAAUCAAGCAUUUUCUUCUCUGGAACUCAAAUCUCUUGUUUCACUGGUCUCAGUCUUUUGCUGCCUUAUUUCUUCAAAUCCUGAACAAGGCACUUUCUCAUUUCCAUUUUAUAUUCUGGACAACUGAAUCAAUCACAGAUCUCCAAAUUGGGUCUCAUUGCCAGUUGGUCUCUUGAACUGUAAUCUACGCACUGCUUGAAUGAUCUUGGGUUUAUUCCUGAUGGCAGUAGAGUGAGUUUGGAGGUUACUCUUGUGAAUACACUCCUCCUCUUAACCUUCAUUUCCAACCUUCAUC